Molecule: ribosomal RNA, 427 nt
Filed under: uncultured bacterium
Lineage: Bacteria
Description: bacterial SSU rRNA
Rfam family: Bacterial small subunit ribosomal RNA
Source: RNAcentral
UGGGGAAUUUUGGACAAUGGGCGAAAGCCUGAUCCAGCAAUGCCGCGUGCAGGAUGAAGGCCCUCGGGUUGUAAACUGCUUUUGUACGGAACGAAAAAGCUUCUCCUAAUACGAGAGGCCCAUGGCGGUACCGUAAGAAUAAGCACCGGCUAACUACGUGCCAGCAGCCGCGGUAAUACGUAGGGUGCGAGCGUUAAUCGGAAUUACUGGGCGUAAAGCGUGCGCAGGCGGUUAUGCAAGACAGAGGUGAAAUCCCCGGGCUCAACCUGGGAACUGCCUUUGUGACUGCAUAGCUAGAGUACGGUAGAGGGGGAUGGAAUUCCGCGUGUAGCAGUGAAAUGCGUAGAUAUGCGGAGGAACACCGAUGGCGAAGGCAAUCCCCUGGACCUGUACUGACGCUCAUGCACGAAAGCGUGGGGAGCAAACA